GGAGUCACAAUAAACACACUAAAUAAAGUCAUGAUUGUGUAACUCUAGUGUAUAUGAGUGUGUUGUCAGCACAAGCUGUUGUAAAUCCUGCCCACUUCUUUGCAUUGUCAGCACAUGCUUCAGUGCUCUGAGAGUGUUUAUAGUGCUGUGAGUUUAACACUUCAUGACUGAGAGCAGAACACACACACUCUUCAUCAUCACACAAGACUAAACUACAACUAUGAACAACAUCUGCAUCUUCAUCUGGACCAUUGCACUGUUUGCUCAAGAAUCCAGAGGAGUGACUCUGACUCAACCUGAAGUUAAAACUGUCCAACUGAGUCAAACGGCAACAAUAGAGUGUCAUAUAGAUGUAGGAAUAUACAGCAGCUACUUAGCCUGGUAUCAGCAGAAACCUGGAGAAGCUCCUAAACUCCUGAUUAAAUAUAUAAGCAGCCGUUAUACUGGAACUCCAUCUAGAUUCAGUGGCAGUGGAUCUGGCAGUGAUUUUACUCUGAGUAUCAGUGGAGUCCAGACUGAAGAUACAGGAGAUUAUUACUGUCAGAGUUAUCACAGUGGUCCAGUGUUCACACAGUGA
Molecule: non-coding RNA, 577 nt
Organism: Pimephales promelas (fathead minnow)
Lineage: Eukaryota; Metazoa; Chordata; Actinopteri; Cypriniformes; Leuciscidae
Source: the annotation of a RefSeq genome assembly